AAACCUGAUACAAUGCAGCAUGCUCAGAGAGGACAAUGUUAUUGUUGUUGGCUCUAACACGUCAAAACAACAGUCUUGAAAACUUGUGUCUAAAGAUGUGAUGUCACUAUGUUGACAGCAGAGCAGAGAUGAAGCAUCCUGGUGGAAGCCUUUGGUUUCUCUGCACCCUCUACUGCCUGAAACAGCGCUGUGGGUCCUCACACCUCUCUGAGUCGAUCCUUCCCUUUCCGGAGGUACUACAGCUGUUAGUAUUAUUUCCUAAGACAGUGUGUUUAUCUUGUGAGGAUGUGAAAGGGGAAAAGAUGGGAAACAGUUUUUCUGUGCACUUUAUUGUCAUCCACUGAAGAGCGUUCCCUGAAAUGAAAGUGAACCCUCCGCCAGGCACUUGGUGACAGCGCUCAGGCUGCGGCACAUGGAAUGAAG
Molecule: long non-coding RNA, 423 nt
Organism: Gallus gallus (chicken)
Lineage: Eukaryota; Metazoa; Chordata; Aves; Galliformes; Phasianidae
Source: Ensembl